UCCCGCACAGCCGCACUCGCGCCGUCCCCUUCCUCUUCCUCCCGCCUCACCUCUCUCUCCUUCCAAACCCUAGGCCCGAGCCCGCCGCCGCUGCUCUGCCCGAGCCCGCCGCCGCUGCUUCCUCCUUCCCCGCUGGCGCCCGGCCUCCUCCCCUCACGUCCUCCUCCUUCUACCCCCUCCCGCCCCGGCCCCGGCUCCCGCAGGAGGGAAGCAGGAAUGGCGAGGCGAGGCAAAGGCGGCGUAGGGGACACGGCGUGGCGCAGGUGGGUCGGCACGGUCGCGGCUUCUCUUCUUAUCUCCCGGGAGUGGGCCACAGCCAUGGAGAGCGGCCAGAGGAGCAAGGACGGCCAACCCCUGCCUCCUCUCCAGCACGUGUUGGGGAUUGCGGGCAACGAUUGAAUCUGCAGAUUGGUUCGCUCAAGGAUGACGAGGAGAUGGCCGACUCCAGGGAGCAGCAGAAGGAGGAGGGGCACGCAGCGCCGGCCGGGCUGAUGUGGAGGGGGCUGCGAGCUCGACGUGAGAGCAGCGGCAGGGACGAGCUCAGCAGGCUCUUCUACUGCGCCUGCUAGACCUCGAGGGACCUAUCUACUAUGAUACCAUAUACAUGCUUAUGGAAGGCACUCAACAGCAUAUUCUAGAAAAAAUAAAGGUUUAUUAUCCAGGUAUAUUUAUCUACUAUUGUACUUGAGACCUGACAUUCAAAAGGAAAAUUUCAAUAUUAAUAGCUGAUAAAGAAACGCUCCACAGUUAGUCGAUACACAUGUACCAAUCUGGAGUUAGUAUACAUGCUUGAGAUCUGGUCCUAUUGUUAGUUUGGUUUGCUAUUGAGUACAUUUGGUUAUAAUUAGAAUUGCAAUAGUUUCGUUAUAGGAUCUAAGGGACAUUUAGAAGUUUGGCAAAAGACGUCAUCUACUCAUGAAUAAUCUCAUCAUCUGAAAAUGGAUUCAGAGUUAGGCCACUUACACAUCAUGGUAAACCUCCUAGUUCCCAUUUUGUCUGUAUUUUUAAAGGGGUGCUAAAAUCCUGGAUGGUCAUUGGAUAGUGGAUUAGCAUCAGUGCUUAACUAAGUCCCUGGAAAUUUGGAUAAGCAGUUUUUCUUUGAAGUGUAUAUGGUUCUAGACUUUCUUUUUGUGGUAAAGGAAGAAUCUUGGAUGAUCUUUGGACAGUGGAUUAGCGUUAGUGCUUAAAUAAGUCCCUAGAAAUCUGGAUGAACAAUUUUUUUUAAAUGUAUAUGGUUCUACUGGUAAUCAUUAAUCUGUAACCUUGUGCUUGCUUGUGACCAGUAAGGUUGUGACGGGUUGUCAUCCCAUGGUUUUUCUGCAGCGCCGUCACUGCCAUCCUUAACAUACAGAAGAAGUUCGUCCCAAGCUUCAAGACUCUAGGGUCAAUUCCAUAGAAGGUAAUUUCCUUAGAUAUUGGUAUUGUUGACAUUUGGUUUUUCCGGCUUCUGGUUGCUGUUAUACUUUGUUUAUUCAUGCUUUUGUUUGUAUUUAAAUUUGCCUAAAGAUAUGUUCAAGUUCAUACCUGCAGUUCAAUAGCUAUUGCCUGAAAUCUGCUUUCUACCUGUGCUUUUUAAGUAUAUAUGCCUAUAAAGUGUCCUCUAUUGCUUUCUUAAAUUCUGGAGUCUGCUAUGUAAUGAUGGCAUCGACAGAUUUUGUUGCAGGCAGUACUGAAAAGUAAAUAUAUUGAACAGAUCAAAUUGCAAGAUUAGUUAGCUUUCCUCCUGAUUACAUUUUCUCUUACAUUUUCAAUGCUUUGUCUACCAUGCUUUCUCAUGUCCCUGGUGCCUUUUUUGUUUGAUAUGAAGUAAAUUUGCACACUGGAUGGGGCGACCAGGUUGUGGCAACUUGGCGGCAUGGCUAAUGAAUAAAGAAAAUAGCAAUAACUGAUUGAUUUUAGAUCUCAUGUGCCUGCAAAUCUUCUGUUCUUGCCGUUUAUGUGCUGGAUCUGUUGUUGCAUUCGUCGAUCUGUUGUUGGUUCUUAAUUUAGUCUGGUAAAGAGUAAGUUGCACUUUGUUGGUCCAUUUGGGUUAUGGAUUUUUUUUAUUAUGAUGGCGAGACACACCUAUGGUGAGAUUCUAUUUCGAUGAUGAUGUGCACUCUUCACACCUCGCUCUGAAUUGGCACGAGAAGAUCGUUCUAGAUUGGAAUCCAUAUAACUUUAAGAAGGUCAAUGUCUGUUGUCUUUCUCUCUCUGACUGCCUCUCCUCCCAUUGACUUGGCAUGCUGGUCACCGCCGUGUCUCCUGCUGGCUUGCCCCUCGCCCUCGUCGAGAGGGUUGUGUGGGCCGUCCUACAUUUUAAUCCACAUAACUUUGAAAAGGUCGCCACCAUGUCGUCUCUCUCUCUCUCUCUCUCUCUCUGACCGCCCCUCCCGUUGCCUUGGUUUGCUGGUUGCUGUAGUGUCUCCCGCCGGUUCGUCCGUUGCCAUCGCUGGAAGGGUUGUGUAGUCCGCCGCUCAUGCCAGUACUCUGCAGUGACCAGUGAGGACCAUGGCAUCGAGACAGCCCAAAAGGAAACACCGCCGGCUAUAGCACCGGUUGAGGCCACCCUGUCUGUCAGCCCACAACAUGUUUGCAUGCUUUGCCCUUGUCUCCUACUUCUCUCGCCUUGCUGGUCCUUGUACUAUGCCAUGUCGCCGAACCAGUCGCCAUGGGAUGCUUAACGUCGUGUUGGAUGAUGCCACACAUGAUUUAGGUUUCUUCAUCUGACGAAGAAUUUAUGGUGGAUGAUAUUACUCUGGGAGGAAUUAUCAGGCACACAACCAACGAGCGGUGGCAGAAGCAACUUCUCCCUUGAACUACAUGCCAGGGCAACUUUAUUCUAAGAGGCUCCAAAAUCUGAAGAAAGAUGUGGCUAUGCAGGAUGCCAAG
Long non-coding RNA from Triticum dicoccoides, 2871 nucleotides. RefSeq lists it as uncharacterized. The transcript has 7 exons. The record is from RefSeq and is a predicted model, not a curated record. NCBI's taxonomy places the organism in Eukaryota, Viridiplantae, Streptophyta, Magnoliopsida, Poales, Poaceae.